RNAcentral lists this ribosomal RNA (573 nucleotides) under uncultured fungus. Its description in RNAcentral is "eukaryotic LSU rRNA". The stretch from base 211 to 364 matches the Rfam family "5.8S ribosomal RNA". The record is from RNAcentral. Lineage: Eukaryota; Fungi.
AGUCGUAACAAGGUCUCCGUAGGUGGACCUGCGGAGGGAUCAUUACACAAAUAUGAAGGCGGGCUGGAACCUCUCGGGGUUACAGCCUUGCUGAAUUAUUCACCCUUGUCUUUUGCGUACUUCUUGUUUCCUUGGUGGGUUCGCCCACCACUAGGACAAACAUAAACCUUUUGUAAUUGCAAUCAGCGUCAGUAACAAAUUAAUAAUUACAACUUUCAACAACGGAUCUCUUGGUUCUGGCAUCGAUGAAGAACGCAGCGAAAUGCGAUAAGUAGUGUGAAUUGCAGAAUUCAGUGAAUCAUCGAAUCUUUGAACGCACAUUGCGCCCUUUGGUAUUCCAAAGGGCAUGCCUGUUCGAGCGUCAUUUGUACCCUCAAGCUUUGCUUGGUGUUGGGCGUCUUGUCUCUAGCUUUGCUGGAGACUCGCCUUAAAGUGAUUGGCAGCCGGCCUACUGGUUUCGGAGCGCAGCACAAGUCGCACUCUCUAUCAGCAAAGGUCUAGCAUCCAUUAAGCCUUUUUUUCAACUUUUGACCUCGGAUCAGGUAGGGAUACCCGCUGAACUUAAGCAUAUCA